UACGGAGGGUGCGAGCGUUGUCCGGAAUCAUUGGGCGUAAAGGGCGCGUAGGCGGGCGGCCAAGUCAGGGGUGAAAGCCCCCAGCUCAACUGGGGAAGUGCCUUUGAUACUGGCCAUCUCGAGGGAGGUAGGGGCGUGCGGAACUUCCGGUGGAGCGGUGAAAUGCGUAGAUAUCGGAAGGAACACCGGUGGCGAAAGCGGCGCGCUGGACCUCUUCUGACGCUGAGGCGCGAAAGCCAGGGGAGCAAACGGG
Molecule: ribosomal RNA, 253 nt
Filed under: uncultured bacterium
Lineage: Bacteria
Description: partial 16S ribosomal RNA
Rfam family: Bacterial small subunit ribosomal RNA
Source: RNAcentral